Trichonephila clavata is the source of this 65-nucleotide non-coding RNA. Lineage: Eukaryota; Metazoa; Arthropoda; Arachnida; Araneae; Nephilidae. The record is from the annotation of a GenBank genome assembly.
GUAGCGUAAUGGAUAGCGUGUUGGACUUCUAGUCCAAAGGGCGUGGGUUCGAAUCCCUCUUUACU